UACAGAGGGUGCAAGCGUUGUCCGGAAUCACUGGGCGUAAAGGGCGCGUAGGCGGCCCGAUAAGUAGGGGGUGAAAUCUUGCGGCUCAACCGCAAGGCUGCCUUCUAGACUGUCGGGCUUGAGCACAGUAGAGGCAGGUGGAAUUCCCAGUGUAGAGGUGAAAUUCGUAGAUAUUGGGAAGAACACCGAUGGCGAAGGCAGCCAUCUGGACCGACACUGACGCUGAGGCGCGAAAGCGUGGGGAGCAAACAGG
This 253-nucleotide ribosomal RNA is filed under the name uncultured bacterium. Its description in RNAcentral is "partial 16S ribosomal RNA". It matches the Rfam family "Bacterial small subunit ribosomal RNA", at positions 524 to 776 of the family's 1533-position model. The record is from RNAcentral.